UAAAAAGUUAUUUAUUUUAGGUAGUAACAGAUUACUUAAAACCUAAAGAAUUUGGCGGUAUUUUAAAUAAUUAGAGGAACCUGUUAAUUAAUUGAUAAUCCACAACAAAUCUUACCUAAAUUUUAUUUGUAUAUCGUUGUUCUCAGAUUAUAUUUUAAGAUUAUAAUCGAUAAUAAUUAAAUUUUUUAUAUCAAAUCAAGGUGCAGUAUGUUUAGGGUUUAAUGGGUUACAAUAUAUUUAUAUAUAACGGAUUAGAAAUGAAAAUAUCCCUUAAGGUGGAUUUAAAAGUAAUUUAAAAUUAAAAAGUUUAAAUGAAUAAAAAUUUAAAAUAUGC
RNAcentral lists this ribosomal RNA (334 nucleotides) under Bothriurus flavidus. RNAcentral describes it as "partial 12S small subunit ribosomal RNA". The record is from RNAcentral. Lineage: Eukaryota; Metazoa; Arthropoda; Arachnida; Scorpiones; Bothriuridae.